GAUUUAAGCAUUCAAAAGAUUCUUGUUUCUACAACUAGGCCAACUCCUCAAACAUCCAAACCUUCAACCACUGGGACUAAACUUCCAUCUAUGCAUCAAAUCUUUGGAAUAAGGAAGUGAUUACCUUAACAAUACCAUAUUUGUUAGUUGGCAAAAGGUGAAUGCUUAUUUAUAAUAUUAUUAUGGUACCCUUGUACUCCAAAUUGAUAAAGAUAACUUUUUAAUUUUUGCUUAGAAAUUCUAAAGAAAUUAGUAUUCUAAGCAAUUCAAAUUCUUCAAUUGAAUUCUAGUGUGUUUGGAUGGAGGAAUGUUUUGAGGGUAUUUAAAUUUUUUUGUCUAAAUUCCCUUGUUUGGAUGAUUAAUUUGAAAAAUUUUCAAAAUGAUGGAAUUUUAUGAAGUAUUUUGUUCAAGUUAAAUUUAAGAAAUUUCAAAUGAAACCAAAAAGCUAGGAAUUUGAAAUUCAUUCCUUCCAUGUGUUUCAAAAUUUUCAAAUUGAAACCUAUAAUAUUUUUAAAAUUGCAAAUUGACCCGUAUUUUUUCUUCAAUUUUUGCAACAUGGUCCCUAAAAAUUUGCAAAUUGGUCCGUUAAAAUUAUGAAAAUUACAAAUUGGUCCUUUUUCAAAUUUUAAAUUUGACCCAAAACUUUUCAAAUUUAUAAAAGUGGCUCAAAAUGUUCACAAUAAAAUUUCCUAUUUCUCUAUCCAGACACACAUAGUUAAAAAUGAUGGUAAUUUAAAUACAAUCAUUUAAUUUGAAUUGCUUAGAAUUAUAAAUCCUCUACAAUUUCUAAUUCCUACAUCCAAAGUCCAAACGCACUCUUAAUUUCAAAAUUCUUUUUUUCGGAGAGUAAUAAAAUCCUUUAUUCUUAAUCUUUGUUGGGCUAUUUCUAUAAAAAAAAAAGUUGAGGGAUAAUUUUAAAAUAUGAAAAAAGGGGGACCAAUUUGCAAAAUUUCAAAAUUUAGGAACCAAUUUGAAAAUCUUGAAAAAAUUAAAGGGUUCAUUUUCUAAAAUUUGAAAGAAUUCUAUGGACCAAUUUAAGAUUUUAUUUAUAAAUCAUUCUUUCAUAAUUUUUAAAUAAUAUCUGAAAUUUCUUACGUCAAAAAAGUAAUAUUUGAAAUUUUUUAAAAUUAACUUCGACAAAAUACUUCAUAAAAUUUAUUCAUAUUGAAAAUUCAUCCAAUUUAUCAUCGAAACGAUAAAUUUUACAUAGUAGAAGAAUUUAAAUCAUCCUCUAAAAUUAAAUAUCAUAACAAAAAAUUCUCAUUCAAUUCAAAUACCUUACACCUUUUCUUAUUGUAUUCAACUUCAUAUUUUGCAGAUUGAUGUAAAAGUUGGGCCACUAUUGGAAUAAGAAGGUUUGCACGAAUCAAGGAUAAUGAAUCAGCUAGCUAGUGUAUAUUAUUUGUUUAUUCUAUUGGUUAAUUUAAAUGUGUGUAACUUAUCCUUUGUUGUAGUACCAAC
This 1461-nucleotide long non-coding RNA is filed under the name Trifolium pratense (red clover). RNAcentral's name for it is "long non-coding RNA (TPRA_LNC001275)". Lineage: Eukaryota; Viridiplantae; Streptophyta; Magnoliopsida; Fabales; Fabaceae. The record is from RNAcentral.